UACGGAGGGGGCUAGCGUUGUUCGGAAUUACUGGGCGUAAAGCGCACGUAGGCGGACUGUUAAGUCGGGGGUGAAAUCCUGGGGCUCAACCUCAGAAUUGCCUCCGAUACUGGCAGUCUCGAGUGCGGGAGAGGUGAGUGGAAUUCCCAGUGUAGAGGUGAAAUUCGUAGAUAUUGGGAAGAACACCAGUGGCGAAGGCGGCUCACUGGCCCGUAACUGACGCUGAGGUGCGAAAGCGUAGGGAGCAAACAGG
RNAcentral lists this ribosomal RNA (253 nucleotides) under uncultured bacterium. RNAcentral describes it as "partial 16S ribosomal RNA". It matches the Rfam family "Bacterial small subunit ribosomal RNA", at positions 524 to 776 of the family's 1533-position model. The record is from RNAcentral.